Long non-coding RNA from Pomacea canaliculata, 1696 nucleotides. RefSeq lists it as uncharacterized. NCBI's taxonomy places the organism in Eukaryota, Metazoa, Mollusca, Gastropoda, Architaenioglossa, Ampullariidae. The record is from RefSeq and is a predicted model, not a curated record. The transcript has 3 exons.
UAACCAAAGCCUCAAGGAAAUAUUUAGUUACAACACAUUUGGUCCCCAGAAGAAUAAGUAGUCUUUUUCUUUUUAGAAAUUGUAAAUUCACUUAUAUGAGAACAUUGAGAUGAUGAAAUUCUCAUACCAACGGUCUACCAUUUUUCCAUGACAUUAUAGAUUUUAAAAUGAGCUUGGAGGAAAAAAAUUCUUAAAUGUUUCAGAUCUAAUGUUUUAUAAUUUUUGAAAUGACUUUUUUUCUCUUUUUUUUUAAAUAGCAAAAGGAAAGAAGCGUUUGCAUGAAGAGUCCGAUAGCGACGGAAGUGAUCAGGAUCGAGGCUCACCAGAAAGAGCAUCAAAUGAAACAUCAAAAGGCGGCUCCCUUUACAGACGUAAAAGACAGGCUAUCCAUCAUCUCGCUGGUUUCAUUAAAACAAUGGCAGCAGGCUUGACAUUAGAAGAAAUCCUGCCAUUAAGCUUACUUCUCAUUCAAAACAUGGACCAGUUCAUCAAAUCUAAAAAGGUAAACCAUCAUAAAGCCAUUAACUAUAAGGCUCUAAGGUCAUAGAGGAACAAGUUUUGUAAAUAGUUGAAACAUGCAGAAAAUGAAAACAGCAUGCCUGAGAUCAAAUUUAAAACCAGGACAUUCAUUUAUCUUUAUUCAUAAUCAACUCUAAACUGUUGCCAAAACAUCUCUUUAAAAAGUUACUGAUUGCUAUUAAUGACAACAUUUAUCAUCAAAAGACUUGGUCUCUUGGCCUUUUGAAUGUGUGCUGGCGUUUCCCUAUCAGAUACAUUGAGAUUGAAAUAAUCGGUGGGCUUGGCCAGCCACAAGUCUAAGUUGGCCUCAAAUCAGUGACUUUCUGCUCCAUAGUAAUGCGCACUAACCAAAGCCUCAAGGAAAUAUUUAGUUACAACACAUUUGGUCCCCAGAAGAAUAAGUAGUCUUUCUUCUUUUAGAAAGUGUAAAUUCAGUUAUAUGAGAACAUUGAGAUGAUGAAAUUCUCAUACCAACGGUCUACCAUUUUUUCCAGACAACAGCACAAGAGGAAGGAUGCCAGAAAGAAGAGACCCCGAAGGAAGAGGGACAAACUGCCCCCAUGCCCUAGGCAUAGAGGAACAAGUUUUGUAAAUAGUUGAAACAUGCAGAAAAUGAAAACAGCAUGCCUGAGAUCAAAUUUAAAACCAGGACAUUCAUUUAUCUUUAUUCAUAAUCAACUCUAAACUGUUGCCAAAACAUCUCUUUAAAAAGUUACUGAUUGCUAUUAAUGACAACAUUUAUCAUCAAAAGACUUGGUCUCUUGGCCUUUUGAAUGUGUGCUGGCGUUUCCCUAUCAGAUACAUUGAGAUUGAAAUAAUCGGUGGGCUUGGCCAGCCACAAGUCUAAGUUGGCCUCAAAUCAGUGACUUUCUGCUCCAUAGUAAUGCGCACUAACCAAAGCCUCAAGGAAAUAUUUAGUUACAACACAUUUGGUCCCCAGAAGAAUAAGUAGUCUUUCUUCUUUUAGAAAUUGUAAAUUCAGUUAUAUGAGAACAUUGAGAUGAUGAAAUUCUCAUACCAACGGUCUACCAUUUUUCCAUGACAUUAUAGAUUUUAAAAUGAGCUUGGAGGAAAAAAAUUCUUAAAUGUUUCAGAUCUAAUGUUUUAUAAUUUUUGAAAUGACUUUUUUUCUUUUUUUUUUUAAAUAGCAAAAGGAAAGAAGCGUUUGCAUGAAGAG